Molecule: long non-coding RNA, 861 nt
Filed under: Physcomitrium patens
Lineage: Eukaryota; Viridiplantae; Streptophyta; Bryopsida; Funariales; Funariaceae
Description: long non-coding RNA (PPAT_LNC004246)
Source: RNAcentral
CACAUAUAAUCCUAAGAAACGGCGAUUGGUCCUAAGUGGUAACAACACUGCAUAGAAUAGUUUCUAGGACGACCGCACAGGUUGUUUUCAAGGUAAAAUAUUCACAUAUUUUAUCUUUCAUGAGAUCCUUCGGAGCCUUCAGCAGAAAUCAGUUACCGAAGUGGUGGAAAGUCUCAAAUAGCUUAAGGUUUAAAGGAGAUCCGAAGUUUACUGUGCACUUGUGGCACUUUCGCAAGUUGUAGGCUUACAGUUUAUGUGUAAACUUUCGUUCGUGAGCGAAAAAAAGCCAGUCAUUCUGGUGCAUGACUCUCGAAAAUUGGCAAGGAUUUGUUCUCUCUUCCUGAAAGCAGAUACUGUUUGGAAUCAGCAGAGCACCAUGUGGUCAGUCUUAGACGAGGUACUUUGCGUAGCAACAUUGAUCUAUUGUGGUAAGGACAAGGGCAACAGCAGUAGUGAAGGCAGAAUCGGGGGUGGAAUUGGAGGCGGAUGUGGAAGUGAACAAUGAGGUCCAAACAGAGGAAGGCCAAUCUUUCUGAAGUAACUCGUUUCAGAGUUAUAAAGCCUUCUUUUGAUUGUGAGCCUCUGCUAUACUCACCUACUGAAUCUGAGAAACAGCUGGAGCGUCAAUGUGGUUAGAAUCCUGAAUUAGAGCAAUGUUCAUGUUUCUUAAAUAGCACUACGGCGAGAAGAAUUGCAAAAUUGGGCUUACAAAUUCAUGCUGUUGCACUUCAGAGACAAAGAUGAGUUUCGCAAGUUUUAGUUAACCUGUGCAAGUAAUGGUCAAGUUUCGUUAAGAGAAUAUACAACGGAGAACCCUCAAACAUGGUUACACACCGUUAAGACAUGGCAGUAACAUUAUCG